RNAcentral lists this ribosomal RNA (464 nucleotides) under Vreelandella stevensii. RNAcentral describes it as "partial 16S ribosomal RNA". It matches the Rfam family "Bacterial small subunit ribosomal RNA", at positions 338 to 795 of the family's 1533-position model. The record is from RNAcentral. Lineage: Bacteria; Pseudomonadati; Pseudomonadota; Gammaproteobacteria; Oceanospirillales; Halomonadaceae.
CCUACGGGCUGCAGCAGUGGGGAAUAUUGGACAAUGGGCGAAAGCCUGAUCCAGCCAUGCCGCGUGUGUGAAGAAGGCCUUCGGGUUGUAAAGCACUUUCAGUGGGGAAGAAAGCCUUGGGGCUAAUACCCUCGAGGAAGGACAUCACCCACAGAAGAAGCACCGGCUAACUCCGUGCCAGCAGCCGCGGUAAUACGGAGGGUGCGAGCGUUAAUCGGAAUUACUGGGCGUAAAGCGCGCGUAGGCGGUCUGAUAAGCCGGUUGUGAAAGCCCCGGGCUCAACCUGGGAACGGCAUCCGGAACUGUCAGGCUAGAGUGCAGGAGAGGAAGGUAGAAUUCCCGGUGUAGCGGUGAAAUGCGUAGAGAUCGGGAGGAAUACCAGUGGCGAAGGCGGCCUUCUGGACUGACACUGACGCUGAGGUGCGAAAGCGUGGGUAGCAAACAGGAUUAGAUACCCGGUAGUC